Molecule: long non-coding RNA, 445 nt
Filed under: Setaria viridis
Lineage: Eukaryota; Viridiplantae; Streptophyta; Magnoliopsida; Poales; Poaceae
Description: long non-coding RNA (SVIR_LNC007575)
Source: RNAcentral
CAUGGAAGAUGGGUUCUCUACAAGUGUUACCAUUUAAGAACUAAACUUACACUGAGGGGGAACCUAAUGAUAUUUUAAAAACAGUUUAAAUUUUUUAUUCAAACAAAAAUACUAUGCAUCUGACAUGAGUGCAACAUCCCAUAUCAACUUGAUUUAAAAUUUUACAGGAUUAUUUUUUGUACCCAAAUUGACAACAAAGUAAUUGAAGGUUAGAUCAUUUUAGAAAAAUAAUAAUCCUUUAUUUUAUUUAAUAUGAUCUAUUCUCAGAACAAAAUAAAAUUUUUGAUGUGUGACAGCCAUAAAUCUUGCAAAAUGCGCAAAUGUGUUGAAUUAAGUGUGCAAUAAUGGACAGGCAAUCAUGGGAAGGUGCACACCAUAUGGUGGCAACUAACAUCCACCUAGACUUGUCGCUAGCUUUUUUUUGCCAAUAGAGCCUCACUCGUCU